CCUACGGGAGGCAGCAGUGGGGAAUAUUGCACAAUGGGGGAAACCCUGAUGCAGCGACGCCGCGUGAGUGAAGAAGUAUUUCGGUACGUAAAGCUCUAUCAGCAGGGAAGAAAAUGACGGUACCUGACUAAGAAGCCCCGGCUACCUACGUGCCAGCAGCCGCGGUAAUACGUAGGGGGCAAGCGUUAUCCGGAUUUACUGGGUGUAAAGGGAGCGUAGACGGCAGCGCAAGUCUGGAGUGAAAUCCCAUGGCUUAACCAUGGAACUGCUUUGGAAACUGUGCAGCUAGAGUGCAGGAGAGGUAAGCGGAAUUCCUAGUGUAGCGGUGAAAUGCGUAGAUAUUAGGAGGAACACCAGUGGCGAAGGCGGCUUACUGGACUGUAACUGACGUUGAGGCUCGAAAGCGUGGGGAGCAAACAGGAUUAGAUACCCUAGUAGUC
RNAcentral lists this ribosomal RNA (440 nucleotides) under uncultured bacterium. RNAcentral describes it as "partial 16S ribosomal RNA". It matches the Rfam family "Bacterial small subunit ribosomal RNA", at positions 338 to 795 of the family's 1533-position model. The record is from RNAcentral.